RNAcentral lists this transfer RNA (71 nucleotides) under Dendronephthya gigantea. Its description in RNAcentral is "tRNA-Gly". It matches the Rfam family "tRNA". Rfam says of the family: Transfer RNA (tRNA) molecules are approximately 80 nucleotides in length. Their secondary structure includes four short double-helical elements and three loops (D, anti-codon, and T loops). The record is from RNAcentral. Lineage: Eukaryota; Metazoa; Cnidaria; Anthozoa; Malacalcyonacea; Nephtheidae.
CCGCUGGUGGUUCAGUGGUAGAAUUCUCGCCUGCCACGUGGGAGACCGGGGUUCGAUUCCCCGCUAGCGCA